UAAGCAAUGAAACACGCAAAAACUAUGGUGUUCGAUGGGUCGCUCAAAGAUCACGAAAUUGGGUCGCUCGAAUCUCGAUUUGUGCCGAUAAUCUCUUCUGUUUGCUACGGUAACAUUCAAUCUUCUGCUUCAUAUAAUCAAAUCCUUUUUUGAUGAAAAUGAGGGUAUAAACCCUAAAUCAAGAACAUUCAAUCUUCUGCAAUUGAUAAAAGGUAUAACUUUAUCCAUUUUUCUCAUUCUUGAUCAUUCAAGAACAUUCAAUCUUCUGCUUGAGAAAAAACGUUAAUAGUGCAAAAAUGUGUUCUGUGCCAAGAUCAUGUUUACAAUUGAUGUCGGUUCUGAUACUGAUUUUUUAAUUCUUGAUAUUUCAAGAACAUUCAAUUUCUGCUUGAAAACACGAAACUUUAACUGAGGAAACGUGUUUUGUCGCAAUAACUUUCAAUCUUCUGCUUAUUGGUUUAUAAUCAAUGCCUAUUGGGAAGGAUGAUGGGUUUUCGAUUUUUUCAUUCUUGAUUAUUCGAAUACCUUCAAUCUUCUGCUUCAAUAAAAUGUGAAAUUUCAAAUUUUGUAAGGGGUUGAAUGUCUUGAUGCCCAAAAAAUGCUGGAUAAAUUACUUUAUGAAUGUGAAAUCUUGAUUGCUACUCAAGCAAUUGUCCCUUUCGGUGUCCGCUUUACUAUUUAAAAAAUUUAUGAAUUUUUAUUCAUAGUAAUGCAUGAAUAGAUAUAUAUUAUGCUUUGAUGACCCUUAGUCCCUAAAUUCAAGUAAUUGCUACUCAAGUCCCUGAAUGUGAAAUCUUAUAGUAAUUCAAAUUGGUUGUUAAGUCCCUGAAUGUGAAAUCUUGUUGUUGCCUUAAUUGUUACUCAAACAAUUGUCCCUAUCGGUGUCCGCUUUACUAUUUAAAAAAAUUAUGAAUUUUUAUUCAUAGUAAUGCAUGAAUGGAUAUAUAUUCUGCUUUGAUGACCCUUAGUCCCUAAAUUCAAUUUUGCAACUGCAAUUAGAAGUGAUAUUGCAUUAUGAACUUAAUGACCCUUCUCCCUAAUGUUACAUAAAGGAUGGAUGCCUUAAUGACCCUUGAGGAAUAUGCAUUAUGAAUUCUUUAUUCAUAAUGGAAAAGUUGGAUGGUGGCUUUAGAAGUGAUUUUACAUGAUGAACUUAAUGACCCUUAUACCUAAUGUUACAUAAGUUUUGUAAGGGAUGGAUGCCUCAAUGACCUUUGAGGAAAAUGAAUUAUGAAUUCUUUAUUCAUAAUGGAAAAGUUGGAUGGUGGCUUUAGAAGUGAUUUUGCAUUAUGAACUUAAUGACCCUUUUCCCUAAUGUUACAUAAGUUUUGUAAGGGAUGGAUGCCUCAAUGACCUUUGAGGAAAAUGCAUUAUGAAUUCUUUAUUCAUAAUGGAAAAGUUAGAUGGUGGCUUUCAAAGCAAAGUAAUUUUAAUAUGAAAUUUAUUCAAAAUGUGGAUGGAUAGACUUUGUUCCAUGGUUUUUGUAAGGGUGGCCAAAAAAUAUUGGAUGAUGCCUUAAUGUGAAAGCUAGUUGUUGACCCUAGUCCCUAAAUGCUAUGAUCUAUUGUGCUUUGGUAGACCCUUAGUCCCUAAAUGCAAUUUUGCAACUACAGUAUGAAGUGAUUUUGCAAAUGCAAAAGAAAGUGCUUCCUUGUGUUUGAUUGGCUCACUGAAUCAAAGUACAAAGAAACCAACUCUUUGGAGUCUAAACUAUUUCUUAUAAUAUGACAUUAUGAUUAAUGAAGGAAUCCACAAUGAGGUUGUAUAUCUGAUAAAAUUUGAUAAAAAAUGGUGGAUGCUAUGCCACUGCUAUAAGAUUUGUGUUGAUAAUUAUAAUCGUUAAGUCUUCGAUUUAAUAACUGAAAAAAGGUAGAAUUUUACCCAUUUUUAUUAUUCUUGAUCAUUUAAAAAGAUUCAAUCUUCUACUUGAUAAAUACAAAACAUUUUAUUGCUGAACAUAGCGGUGUUCAGGUUUAACGGUGAUUUGGAAACCGAAAUCUGUAAUAGCACCCUGUCAUCCUUUUAGAUUCAUUAUGAGACCAUUGUCCCAUAGAUGUGGAGAGAUUCUAGAGAGAUGAUUGAAGCUUUGGUUACAGGAUAAAAACUGGGAACAAUAACAGGUGUUGUGAACUUUCUAUUGAAUCCCAACUUUCAAGGUUGAUUUGUUAACCGGCAGGCAUUUUAUGUCGGAAGUAAAUGUGGGAACAAGUUUUCUUAAUAUGGUAAUUCUAUGAUUUGAGCUGCCUUCCCCCCUAUAUAUAUAUGGUGUAUAAUCAGAUAUAGCUGUAAGUGCGCUUUGGAAUGAAGGAAAAGCAAGUGAUUCAACCAUUUUAUAUGUUUCUCAUAUGGUAUAAUGACUAUGCUGAUGUGUUUUUCUUUAUGCAAUUAACACCUGUUGUCAAUUACCUACGCACCGUGCAAUUUACGAUGCUACUAUAUAACUACAACUCUAUAAUUAGCUUAACAAGAGGACCUUUUUUACUAUGUUAUGUAUUUGGGAGAUUGGUGUUUAAUGCAGUCUAAUUUCGUUUUUGAGAACUUAUUCAGCCUAUAAGAUUUAUUGCUUUUCCGCACUUUGUGUUGGAGUCUAGAUUUGUGCUGGGGAAAUCUUAUGUUGACCUUCUUCAGGAUUUGAUGAAAAAAACUAUUGUUCUUGCCUUGGCAACCGGGCAGAAGCGCUUUGGUGCCUCUCUGUGCAAGCUUGUUGAGAAAUAUGCUGAAAUUUUAGCAAGUCAAGGGUUGCUGACCACAACAACAGAGUAUUUAAAACUUUUGGGUUCUGAAGAACUUUCGAGAACUUGUGAUAUAUUGAAAGACCGAAUUUCGUUUUUGAGAACUUAUUCAGCCUAUAAGAUUUAUUGCUUUUCUGCACUUUAUGCUGGAGUCUAGAUUUGUGCUGGGGAAAUCUUAUGUUGACCUUCUUCAGGAUUUGAUGGAAAAAACUAUUGUUCCUGCCUUGGCAACUGGGCAGAAGCGCUUUGGUGCCUCUCUUUGCAAGCUUGUUGAGAAAUAUGCUAAAAUAAAUCUUAGCAAGUCAAAGGUUGCUGACCACAACAACGGAGUAUCUAAAACUUUUGGGUUAACUUUCGACAUAACUUGUGAUAUUGAAGGACCGAAUUGCACUGUCUACGUAACCUGGUAAACUUUUUCUGGAUUUCUAUAUGGCAUGGUUAAAAAAGUAGAGGAAAAUGAUACAAAGUGAAGGCUAUUUAUUAGCAUUUUUGUGUAUUUUAUUCUAAUGGGAUAGCAUUACGCCAUUAUAAUUGCAUAGUGAACAUCAGUGCGUAGUUAUAUUUUGGUGUUAAUAAACGUGUAACAUUAUACACCUAACCAUUUUUCAGGAAGAUAUUGCCGGUUUUAGAAAGACCUAACUACUCAAGUGAUUACUUAUUGACCACUCUUUUAACAUUGUUAAUAACUAGUAGAGUGGUUAAUGGUUAAUAAACCAAGUAAUUUUACUAAAUCCUUUUCGGAAAGAUUUUUAUUUUAUAAAAUAAUUUGGUGUAAGUCACAUCUGCCAUGUAGAACUGCAGUUAUUUUCAGAUAUUUUCAUUUGGCGGAGAAGUUUAUGUUCAUGGUUUUGUUAAUUAAUUAUUUUGACAUGAAGGGCUCUCAAUUGGAGAAGUCUAUGUUCAUGGUUUUGUUAAUUAAUUGUUAUUUUAUGACUUCAGCUGUCUAGUGUUUCCUUUAUUGUUCAGUAUAUGAAGCUUUCUGCACACCUACGUUUCUCUUCACUUUUUUUCUCCUUUCUAAUU
This is a long non-coding RNA of Trifolium pratense (red clover), 3755 nucleotides long. RefSeq lists it as uncharacterized. The transcript has 3 exons. The record is from RefSeq and is a predicted model, not a curated record. Lineage: Eukaryota; Viridiplantae; Streptophyta; Magnoliopsida; Fabales; Fabaceae.